CUAUCAUUAUAAACAAGAGUGCACACGCUAAAAUGUCUCGCCUUCUAUACUAAUCAUUGAUAUUAUGUUGAUAGUCCUAAGUAUAAAGCUAAGCUUUAAUACAACUGUCACAUAAACUUAACAUUAACCAAGAUAACUAAACAAAGACCAAUGAACCUUGAAAAUGAGGUCAAGGUCAGAUGAACCAUGCCAGGCAGACAUGUACAGCUAACAAUGCUUCUAUACAACAUAUAUAGUUGACCUAUUACUUAUAGUUUAAGAAAAAUAGACCAAAACACAAAAACUUAACACUAAAUGAAAAUCAGGUCACGGUCAAAUAAAACCUGCGCAACUGACAUAAAGAUCAUAAAAUAUUUCCAUACACCAAAUAUAGAUGGCCUAUGGCAUAUAGUAUUAGAUAAAAAG
Molecule: long non-coding RNA, 405 nt
Filed under: Mytilus galloprovincialis (Mediterranean mussel)
Lineage: Eukaryota; Metazoa; Mollusca; Bivalvia; Mytilida; Mytilidae
Source: RNAcentral